CAAAGCGAUGCCAAUGUGUAGGAGGUUUGUGUCUGGAUUCAACCAUAUUUGUUUCGUCACGAAACGAUUUAUAGUGGAGGCUGUUUGGUAAUAUCUAGUCUAGACAUUUAAACAUUUUCCAUGUUAAUAAAAGGUCAAUACGUCUUUGCUGAAAAACAAAGCGAGAAGAUACCAGUUGCUUUGCAAAGCACGUAUUCGUCAUCCAAUAUUCUUGGUGGUGAUCCCGUUUCCUACAAAAUGCAACCUGGUUAUAAGGACAUUUUAGACAUAGGCCCAGUGUACCGAAGCAAUCAGAAGACAGCACAGACAUACAGCAGAGAGUGAGUGUAGCUAUGGUGGUGGCGCGACCAGUCGAGACUGCGCUAACAUGCAGCCUUUGUCCAGCACCACUGGUAAAGCGGCUGUACCCUCAGAGUCGCCAGGUGUUCGUCCCCCACCUACAACAACCCAUACGUACAGUAAUAAUUUGCCCUUCUCGUUAGCGGAAGUCGAACAAAGAGACGAAAAAUCGGAGUCUAACGCUCUCAACAUCCUCAGGUUCAAGUGACAAGUCAACCCUCUGCCGGAUGUACAGGUCCUUCCCGCAUCCGGGGGUUGAAGGGACGAGGUGUGGCAAUGAUACUCUAAGAAGUGACGUUACGAUGACGUUUAGCGACUUAUAAUGCUGAACCUCAAAAUUUCGCUCGAAUUUCACGAAAGAAGGAACAGAGGGCCUAGUUGUAGCCGGUGGGUUACGGCUCACCUUCUUAUUGAUUUUUAUGCUGAUGAUAUCGUUUGACAGUUCUCCCUCAUCUGGCGUUGUAAGUCAUAAAUAGCAAACUUCAAUUGUAUAUGAGGAGAGAAAGCUAAAGUAGUAUGCAGUAUUGCACAUUGUUCCCCUGUGUGCCUCCGGUCUAUGUUGUCUGUUUUGAUUUUGUCAAGCUGCUUAAGAUUUAAUACCUUUAGUGAAGUACAAAGUAUAUAACAAAACACAUUAUAAGUAUAGACAAUUCAAAAGUAGAAAACUGCGCUCUCAUAACGGCAAUAUUGGAAAGCAGUAAUGCAUCGGAUUUUUAAAGCAGAUGCUACACAGCCGAGCAACAGUUCAAAUUCGACGCGAACUUGACGCGGGAAGUGUAGGUCAGUAGAUCAAUUUUGAGAGAGGCAGACCGGCAGAGCGCGGGAAAAGGCCUACCAACCUCACAAACGAUGCGUGCGUUGGCCAUCGUUCGGCGUUGACGGAUUCCGGCACGCGCUUCCGCAUUUUAUGUCUGUAGUUCUUUUUACGUAGAUAGACAGUCUCCGAUGUAUUGCAGGCAGAAUCUUUCUGAAGUCACUGUUUUUAUUUCUCCAGGAAAUGUUUUUGGAAUACGAUUAAACAUGUAUAUUCCGUCUUUUGAAUAUUAGUUGCAGUAAUAACUUCAUGUCAGUGUCAUGUUAAAACAUAUAGCAUGUUUUAUAUAUUAACAAUUACAAUUCAUUAAAAAAAA
This is a long non-coding RNA of Penaeus monodon (black tiger shrimp), 1469 nucleotides long. RefSeq lists it as uncharacterized. NCBI's taxonomy places the organism in Eukaryota, Metazoa, Arthropoda, Malacostraca, Decapoda, Penaeidae. The transcript has 2 exons. The record is from RefSeq and is a predicted model, not a curated record.